Long non-coding RNA from Mauremys reevesii (Reeves's turtle), 590 nucleotides. RefSeq lists it as uncharacterized. The transcript has 3 exons. NCBI's taxonomy places the organism in Eukaryota, Metazoa, Chordata, Testudines, Geoemydidae. The record is from RefSeq and is a predicted model, not a curated record.
AUAAGAAUGAGGGGCAGUGGCCUCCAUCCCUGCUCAUGACAUCAAUGACUUUCAAAGAACUGAAAUAAGGGGGAGGGAUCCCAGACUGAAAGAGACUCAGCCUGUGAGAUUUACUGCAGCGUAUGGAAAAGUGAAUAUGGUUAGUUCAUGCAGCAGGACCUCACAUCCAUCAACAAACUACAGUGGGAAAGAGCACCUUGGACACUUCCCUCAAUAUCUGAAAGCAAGGAAAUUGAGCUAUGGAAAAGGGAAGCAGUAUGAAUCAAUCCCUAGCAAAGCUGAGAGCCAUUAGGAAAUGGAACUUGCAACAGAAGCUACCCACAUGAAUUCAGCCUCACCUAUUCACCAGGAAGUUGCAAAGUUUGUAUUGCAGAAAGAAACAGUAGAGGGGUUUUAAGAUAAAUUAGUGUAAAGGCACAGUAAUACCUUUAAAUAGGAGUCUAUCGAAGAGGGAGAUGAAUUGGCAAUUAGAGACAGAGGUUAUACAGCAAAGGUUCGACUACUAGAAAUGGGUAAAAUUGUUCAGCCAAAACGUUUUUCAGUUGACCAAAAAAUUUUGCAAAUGCACGUCAAAUGGUUUUGAAAUAGAA